GCAGGCGGUUUGUUAAGCGAGAUGUGAAAGCCCUGGGCUCAACCUAGGAAUAGCAUUUCGAACUGACAAACUAGAGUCUUGUAGAGGGGGGUAGAAUUCCAGGUGUAGCGGUGAAAUGCGUAGAGAUCUGGAGGAAUACCGGUGGCGAAGGCGGCCCCCUGGACAAAGACUGACGCUCAUGCACGAAAGCGUGGGGAGCAAACAGGAUUAGAUACCCUGGUAGUCCACGCCGUAAACGAUGUCUACUCGGAGUUUGGUGUCUUGAACACUGGGCUCUCAAGCUAACGCAUUAAGUAGACCGCCUGGGGAGUACGGCCG
Molecule: ribosomal RNA, 318 nt
Filed under: Shewanella putrefaciens
Lineage: Bacteria; Pseudomonadati; Pseudomonadota; Gammaproteobacteria; Alteromonadales; Shewanellaceae
Description: bacterial SSU rRNA
Rfam family: Bacterial small subunit ribosomal RNA
Source: RNAcentral